Molecule: ribosomal RNA, 169 nt
Filed under: uncultured bacterium
Lineage: Bacteria
Description: partial 16S ribosomal RNA
Rfam family: Bacterial small subunit ribosomal RNA
Source: RNAcentral
CCUACGGGAGGCAGCAGUGGGGAAUAUUGGACAAUGGGGGAAACCCUGAUCCAGCAAUGCCGCGUGAGUGAUGAAGGCCUUAGGGUUGUAAAGCUCUUUUACCCGGGAAGAUAAUGACUGUACCGGGAGAAUAAGCCCCGGCUAACUCCGUGCCAGCAGCCGCGGUAAU